Molecule: transfer RNA, 71 nt
Filed under: Loxodonta africana (African savanna elephant)
Lineage: Eukaryota; Metazoa; Chordata; Mammalia; Proboscidea; Elephantidae
Rfam family: tRNA
About the family: Transfer RNA (tRNA) molecules are approximately 80 nucleotides in length. Their secondary structure includes four short double-helical elements and three loops (D, anti-codon, and T loops).
Source: Rfam by way of RNAcentral
GCAUUGGUGGUUCAGUGGCAGAAUUCUUGCCUCCCAUGCAGAAGGCCCGGGUUCCAUUCUUGGCCAAUGCC